GACGAACGCUGGCGGCGUGCCUAAUACAUGCAAGUUGAGCGCUGAAGGUUGGUACUUGUACCAACUGGAUGAGCAGCGAACGGGUGAGUAACGCGUGGGGAAUCUGCCUUUGAGCGGGGGACAACAUUUGGAAACGAAUGCUAAUACCGCAUAAAAACUUUAAACACAAGUUUUAAGUUUGAAAGAUGCAAUUGCAUCACUCAAAGAUGAUCCCGCGUUGUAUUAGCUAGUUGGUGAGGUAAAGGCUCACCAAGGCGAUGAUACAUAGCCGACCUGAGAGGGUGAUCGGCCACAUUGGGACUGAGACACGGCCCAAACUCCUACGGGAGGCAGCAGUAGGGAAUCUUCGGCAAUGGACGAAAGUCUGACCGAGCAACGCCGCGGGAGUGAAGAAGGUUUUCGGAUCGUAAAACUCUGUUGGUAGAGAAGAACGUCGGUGAGAGUGGAAAGCUCAUCAAGUGACGGUAACUACCCAGAAAGGGACGGCUAACUACGUG
Molecule: ribosomal RNA, 497 nt
Filed under: uncultured bacterium
Lineage: Bacteria
Description: partial 16S ribosomal RNA
Rfam family: Bacterial small subunit ribosomal RNA
Source: RNAcentral